Molecule: transfer RNA, 58 nt
Filed under: Salmo salar (Atlantic salmon)
Lineage: Eukaryota; Metazoa; Chordata; Actinopteri; Salmoniformes; Salmonidae
Also listed under: 2 other names
Rfam family: tRNA
About the family: Transfer RNA (tRNA) molecules are approximately 80 nucleotides in length. Their secondary structure includes four short double-helical elements and three loops (D, anti-codon, and T loops). Further hydrogen bonds mediate the characteristic L-shaped molecular structure. tRNAs have two regions of fundamental functional importance: the anti-codon, which is responsible for specific mRNA codon recognition, and the 3' end, to which the tRNAs corresponding amino acid is attached (by aminoacyl-tRNA synthetases). tRNAs cope with the degeneracy of the genetic code in two manners: having more than one tRNA (with a specific anti-codon) for a particular amino acid; and 'wobble' base-pairing, i.e. permitting non-standard base-pairing at the 3rd anti-codon position.
Source: Rfam by way of RNAcentral
UGGCUCAGUUGGCAGAGCAUGGUGCUUGCAAAACCAGGGUUGUGGGUUUGAGUCCCAC